AGGUGAUAUAUUGAAAAAUGGUAUAUGUAAUUAAUAUUAUUUUAAAGAUAACGAAUCAAAAUUUAAAAAUGAUUUAAAGAUAAAAAAAGAAUCAAUCAGAAUCAUGAAAAUGAAAAAAAAAGAAAACAAGUGGAAUGAAACAUCUGAGUAACUUGAUAAAGAACCAACAGGGAGAAUAUGAGUAACGGUGAGUGAAAAUAAAAAAAAUCUUAAAGUAUUACCAAGAGGUAAGAAGAAAGUAGUUUCCAACUACUAAGAAGAAGAAAUAAAUUUUAGAUAAAAGUACCGCAAGGGAAAGUUAAGAAAUAGAAUAAUAAAGAGCAGUUAUAGUAUAACGUACCUUUUGUAUAAUGGGCCAGUGAGUUAUAUAUUUUAGUGAAAAAAAAAUUUAUAUAAAAAUAGAAAAAAAUUAAAGUAUAUAGGCCCGAAAGCAAACGAUCUACACAUGUUCAAGUGUAUAUAAAAAAAAAUUUAUAUAUGACUCAAUAGGUAAUUGUAGCAAUAAUUUCUAAAGAAAUGUGUGUAGCUGUGACAGACAAAUCUGGUUUGCAGAUAGCUGGUUUUCUGCGAAAUAUAUUUUAGUAUAGCCUUUAUUUAUUGUUUAUACUGGUACAGCACUUAAAUACCUUUGGGGAAUUAGAAUAUAAUUUUAUCAAAAUAUUUAAACCUCGGAAUCAGUUUAUAAUUAUGAAAAUAAGGAGUCAGACUUAUUGCGAUAAGGUAGUAAGUCAAAAAGGAAACAACCUAGACUAUUAAAUGUAUGUCCCAAAUAUUAAUUAAGUGAACUUAAUCUAUCCUACUUUUAUUUUAUAAAAGUUACUCUCAUUAUUUAUAACAUUAAUGUUAUAUAUGGGAAAUUAAAUUAUAGACAAUUAGUAAGUGGGUUUGACAAUAAUCAACUUUUAAUGAACAUGUAACAAUGCACUAAUUUUAUAUAUAAUAUAUAUAUAUAUUAUUUAUUAAUAAUAGAGAAAAUAUAGCGGGUCUAAAUUAAUAACAGUAUUAUAGAUAUAAUGAGUAUCAUUAUAUGGUAGCAGAAUAUAUAAUUAAUAAUUAUAAAGAUAUUGCUGGCUUGAGUAACGAUAGAUAAUAUAAGAUUAUCCCCUUAUUCAUAAGGUUUUACUAUAAACUAACGGUCCCUAAGAUUAAUAUAGAAAUAUAUAAUUAAUGGGUGAAAGAACAAGAAAAUAAAAAUGAACCGUACUGUAGACCGACACAGGUAUGAUUAAAAGGGAAUGGGAUAACUACUUUGAAUGAACUCGGCAAAAUAAAUCGUGCGACUGUUUACCAAAAACAUAGCUUAUUGCAUACUAGUAAUAGUUAGUAUAAUAAGUGAUAUCUGCCCGGUGUUUGUUCAAUAAAUAUUAUUAUUUAAUAGAUAAUUUUAUAAAAAACAGAUAAACGGCGGUCUUAUUGUGAGGAUCCGAAGGUAGCGAAAUUCAUUGACGUAUAAUUGACGUCCUGCAUGAAUGAAUAUACGAUGCGAUAACUGUAUCCAAAGUAGACCCAGUGAAAUAGCAAUUGCGGUGAAAUUAGUACUAUAAUAUUAUAUUAUACGCCGGGUUGGUGAAAAUCCAACUUUAUAGUUUUAAUUUUUUAUUUUUCCCAUAAAAAACAAUAAUGAGAGUAAAUACAAUUCCCAUCUACAAAGGAUAUAAGCCCUUGGGGCUCAUUAAUUAUUUUUUUAAGCCCUCAUUAUUUUUAUUAAUGAUUUAUUGGUUUCUCCGAUGGAUAAUCUAAUUUUUCAAUUAUAUCAAUUAUAAAUAGCCCGUUGUGAACAACGGGCGGGUAUUAUAAGGAGAAUAAUUUAAAAUUACAUUACAUUACAUUACAUUACAUUACAUUAUAUUACAUUAUAUGUAGAUGAUAAAUAAGUAUUAAACAUUAUAAAAAAUAACAAAUAAACAUAGGAAUAAUUUCUAUGAAUAAAAAUAGAUAUGAAAGUUCUUUUAUAGUUAGAAAAAUACAAUAAAUAGUAAUAAAAAAAAUAUAUGGAAAUAUAUAUUAUAUGGCCGGAUAACUUUAAAAGAUUUAUCUAAAUAUAAAAAUAUAGAUAAAAGUUUAUGGAAAAAUAAAAAAUUAAAUGUCUUAAUAGACAGAUAAGUAUUAAUGAAUUAUGAAUAUAUAAUUAGGAGAGAAUGGGGAGAUACUUUGUAGAUAGGAAUAAGGCCGACUUUACCGUGCUAAUAUGAUACCCGCGUAUGGGGCAUUAUAAUUCAUACUAUAUAAAUCUAAAUAUAGAUAAGAUAUAGUGACAAGAAUACAAUCGAAUAAUACUUAUCCCUCGAUAGAGGGUAAAUUACAUAAGGCAAUAUGUGAUAAAAUAAAAUCGCUAUAAAUAAAAAGGUGAAAACGGUCAACGAUAUCUUGAUUGAAGACCGUCGGCAAUUGUAUGUGUCGCUACAGACUGGUUCACCGAGGUUAGACUGAAAUGUCUGUCUAAAUGUACAGUCGGGUUCUGUAAUAUAAUAUAUCUGCUUUAGGGCGUAUAUUAUAUAAAGGUGAAAGAUAUAUCAGAAUAAACAGAUAAGCUUAUUAGUACAUAAGUAAUAAACCUUUGUAGGUCAAACCUACUUAAUUUAAUCAGAAUUGGAAGAUGCCGUAUAUCCGUAGGUUGACAAAAAGACCCUAUGCAGCUUUACUAUAUCUUUAUUUUGAUUUUUUAAUAUCAUUUGAUAUUAUACUUUUUUUAUUUAUUUCAGUAGAUUAGGUUAUAUUUAUUAUUUAAAUCAAAUGAGAUACCUAUAUAAAUGAAAAAAGAAUCUAAUUAAUAUAAUAUACACCUAAGGUGAGAUAUUUAAGUAUAACUUAUUUAAGAAAGAGUAAAGAGGUUAGUUUCGAUGGGGCGUCGACAUCAGCGAAAGCAUCUGAUGUGUCUAAUAAUAAAGGUUUUUAAAAAAAAACUAAAUAUUAAAUUAAAUUAUUUAUUUAAUAGUAAAAUACGUACAAUAAUUCUAUAUGGUAAAUAGAAUAUCUUAUAUAUAAGUAAGGAUAACAACAUAAUUGUGCGAUGAUAAUAACACUAACAAGUGGAAUUAGUACUUACGUAGAGUGUAGUGAACAGGCAUAAACAAAUGGUAUGGAUGUCGAUAACGGAUUAAAGUUACGCUAGGGAUUAAUUGUUAGUUCCUUUAUAUAGAAAUAUAUAUAUAUCUCCGCGUUAGUGAGAUAACUUUCUUAUGAAAGUAUAUAAAUUGGGUGAAUUACAAAGAUCUCUUAUUUAUAAGACAAUUUGUAGCGAAGUAUAUAUAGCCGCCUUUGCAUUUGCAAAGGCGGGAUAGUUUUAAUAGAUAUAUAAACGUUCAACGACUAGUAAUUGAGUAAACUAACAAUAAUAUUACCACGAGCCCCCAAUACCUCCCGCCAAAGGCGGGCAUAUUUUACCCAUCUUCAAAUUAAAUGGGUAUUAAAUUAGGUAAAGACAUAGUCUAAACUAUAUAGUGAUAUAUAGAAGUUGUAAAAUUAAAAAAACAACGAUAAUAAAAUUGAACAGGGUAAUACCGCGUGAGAGUUGAUAUCGUCAGCGGUGUUUGCCACCUCGAUUAAUAACGAUAGUCGAGUAUAAAUAGGUUUAAUUGCAAGAAGUCUAAAGAUAAAUAUCCAUGAUGAUUUGCAGCGAAUUAUUAUCUAUAUGAAUAAUAACUUAUAAUGAUUAUCAUCAUUUUAUAUAUAAAUAGCCCGUUGUUCACAACGGGCGGGUAUUAUAAGGAUAAUAAACGUUCAACGACUAGUAGGUGAGUACAUAUAACUAUAUCCUACCAAGAAAUACCUAGAAAUAUUAACCAUAAUGGUAUAUCAUAUUAAUAUAAAAUUAUAUAAUACAUAGUAUAUUAUGAUCUAAUGGCCUAUCUCCAUAUAUAAAUAUAUUAAUAAGUAUAAUGCCCUUUGGGCUAUGCCCUUUAGGCUAUACCCUUUAGGGUAUACCUUUUAAAAAAAAUAUUUUAAGAUAUAGUCUGAACAAUAAUGAAAAUUAUUGUAAUUAUCCCCUCGGGAUGAUCAACCCUUUAUGUUUAUGUUUAUGUUUAUGGGUUGAUUAAAUUUAAAAAAUUUAAUAAAAACAAAUUGGUCGUCUAGACUCGUCCUCCUGGUCGCAGCAACUAGGUAGGGUAGGACUGUUCGUCCUCUAAGGAGUUACUUGAGAUGGGUUAAUUACGACGUGAGUCAGUAAUGAUUUUAUCAUCUAUGGAUUUUUUUCUUAUCUGUUGCCUUAAGUGUACGCAAGGAUAAUAAGGUACAUUCCUAUGGUUAAUAAUUAAUUUAGCUAAGAAUGUUGUGUUUACAUAUUGAAUGCAUAUCAAAUAUUAAAUCCUUCAGAUAAGUUUAUACAUUAUAGACUAUAAUGUAUUAGUUAAUUUGUAUUAUUUGCAAAUAUACUAAAUAAAACAUCUUUUUUAAAAAGAUAUAUACAUAUACCU
This 4415-nucleotide ribosomal RNA is filed under the name Metschnikowia hibisci. Its description in RNAcentral is "large subunit ribosomal RNA". The stretch from base 320 to 1518 matches the Rfam family "Bacterial large subunit ribosomal RNA", at positions 569 to 2044 of the family's 2925-position model. The record is from RNAcentral. Lineage: Eukaryota; Fungi; Ascomycota; Pichiomycetes; Serinales; Metschnikowiaceae.